This is a long non-coding RNA of Aedes albopictus (Asian tiger mosquito), 1158 nucleotides long. RefSeq lists it as uncharacterized. NCBI's taxonomy places the organism in Eukaryota, Metazoa, Arthropoda, Insecta, Diptera, Culicidae. The record is from RefSeq and is a predicted model, not a curated record. The transcript is spliced from 3 exons.
UGCAACAGAUGGCGCUAGUGAGCAGGAGUUUUUCACUUUUAAAAUGUAUGGAGAAAAUAAUAAAAAUUCGUUUUUUGACUAAUUAAACAUUUUAUCAGAAAAAAUAUUUGGUACAGGUUGUAGGCCAUUAUGAUAGCAAUCUACUGUACCAAAUAUUUUUUAUCAAAAUUUCGAAAUAUUCAAAAUAUUUGGAAAAAUGUUCAAAUUUCCAUACAUUAUUUCCACCGAUAACUUCUGCACACUUCUGCCUCGAUAUUGGUUGAUCUUCGUUUUCCUAUACAUGGCAAAGCGAAUAUACAUGGAUUCGUAUUUACCCUUAUUUACCUAUCUGUCAAUUCGUAAGCAAAAAAAUAAAAAAAAAGUUCGAAGCUGUUUGGAGUUAGAAGCGGCAAAGAGGAAGCAAAAAUCUGCGGUGUAAUAGCUUUCCCCACCACCGCAGCAGUCAGCAAGCAGCCGUCCUCCGGGUGAAAAAUAGCAGCGACGAGUGGCUCGGCAGCCAAGAUGGUGGACAUUCAUCGAGGAACCACACGCCAGCCGGCGGAAGAUCAUUCUCAAAUCGGAAACGGAUCGAGCAUGGCCUGUUCAAGUUGAUUGCCGGUUCCAUGGUGCUGAUGCAGUUUGGGAAGCUGUUCGUGAUGGAGGACUGAAGGACCAGUCGUGGAAGGUGAUUUUCCUAGUGACGUACAUUUUUGGCGAUGUCAUCAAGAUCUCAUCUCGCUGGAGGUGGUGUGUCACGAGAACACUCAUAAUCUGGCCUUCGUUGGACACUAUCUACAUGUUCCGGAUUAAAAACAUGCUCCUACUACGGAUUCGAAACUCUUGUUACGACCCUUUGAACUGGAUUACUACAAUGAGUAUCACGAUUUCCCGGCCGUUCUCGGCUGCUACCUCCCCGGAAUUAUAAGGAUCGCACCGGAAGAUACCAUCGCGCAGUUUACCAGCUGGAUCAGGGUGUAGUACGACUUUACCACGGAUCCGGCCAUCGGACCGAUCGUACGCCCGGAUCAAACGGGGCGGGGGGACUGGAUUUCUGAAACGCUUCUUCACCAGGGGACUUGAGGCGCGUCGAGGUAAGUCAAUUUAGAUUGAUAAACUUCGUUUCCCAUAACUGCCAUUAUCGGAUUCGGCGGGUGGAAUCCGACCAGUGAUUUGUUUGUC